AUGUCGACGGCGGCUGCAUCUAGGCCCAGCGGCCCUGUCCUUCUGAGCCCCUUUCCCAACUACCAAUCCGCCUCGCUCUCCCGUGUCAAGCUCUCCGCCGCCGGCUCGCCGGUCAAGUCCGUCAGCGUCUCGUCUCCCCCCUCCUCUCCCACCGCCAAGGUCCGUCGGUCCUGCAUGUGCUCCCCGACGAACCACCCGGGCUCGUUCCGCUGCAGCCUCCACAAGGAGGGCAAACAGGCGGCCCCCGCCGUCAGCAGCAGGCCCGCCUCUCCGCCUUCACCGCCGUCGAAGCGCACGGCGAGCCCGUUCGCGCAGCUCGUCCCCAGCGGCAGCGGUAGCGGCUGCUCUAAACGCUCGUACAGCGGGCUGGCGCAGCGCGUCCCCAUGGGGAGCGGGCACUGGGCACGCAAGGCGCUCGUGCCGUCCCCCGCCGUGCAGCAGCAGCAGCACCGGAAGCGAGUGGUGGAGCGGUUCCACGCCGGGCCAAGCCGGCUCUCCGCCGCCGGCGGCCGCCAGUAA
RNAcentral lists this ribosomal RNA (519 nucleotides) under Triticum aestivum (bread wheat). RNAcentral describes it as "partial small subunit ribosomal RNA". The record is from RNAcentral. Lineage: Eukaryota; Viridiplantae; Streptophyta; Magnoliopsida; Poales; Poaceae.